CCUACGGGGGGCAGCAGUCGAGAAUCAUUCACAAUGGGGGAAACCCUGAUGGUGCGACGCCGCGUGGGGGAAUGAAGGUCUUCGGAUUGUAAACCCCUGUCAUGUGGGAGCAAAUUAAAAAGAUAGUACCACAAGAGGAAGAGACGGCUAACUCUGUGCCAGCAGCCGCGGUAAUACAGAGGUCUCAAGCGUUGUUCGGAAUCACUGAGCGUAAAGCGUGCGUAGGCUGUUUCGUAAGUCGUGUGUGAAAGGCGCGGGCUCAACCCGCGGACGGCACAUGAUACUGCGAGACUAGAGUGAUGGAGAGGGAACCGGAAUUCUCGGUGUAGCAGUGAAAUGCGUAGAUAUCGAGAGGAACACUCGUGGCGAAGGCGGGUUCCUGGACAUUAACUGACGCUGAGGCACGAAGGCCAGGGGAGCGAAAGGGAUUAGAUACCCUUGUAGUC
This 446-nucleotide ribosomal RNA is filed under the name uncultured bacterium. RNAcentral's name for it is "partial 16S ribosomal RNA". It matches the Rfam family "Bacterial small subunit ribosomal RNA", at positions 338 to 795 of the family's 1533-position model. The record is from RNAcentral.